RNAcentral lists this transfer RNA (73 nucleotides) under Mus musculus (house mouse). RNAcentral describes it as "tRNA-Ser". The record is from RNAcentral. Lineage: Eukaryota; Metazoa; Chordata; Mammalia; Rodentia; Muridae.
UCGGAAAUGGCUCAAUGGUUAAGAGCACUGACUGCUCUUCCAGAGGUCCUGAGUUCAAUUCCCAGCAACCACA